Molecule: ribosomal RNA, 468 nt
Filed under: uncultured bacterium
Lineage: Bacteria
Description: partial 16S ribosomal RNA
Rfam family: Bacterial small subunit ribosomal RNA
Source: RNAcentral
GACGAACGCUGGCGGCGUGCUUAACACAUGCAAGUCGAACGGAAAGGCCCUGCUUUUGUGGGGUGCUCGAGUGGCGAACGGGUGAGUAACACGUGAGUAACCUGCCCUUGACUUUGGGAUAACUUCAGGAAACUGGGGCUAAUACCGGAUAGGAGCUCCUGCUGCAUGGUGGGGGUUGGAAAGUUUCGGCGGUUGGGGAUGGACUCGCGGCUUAUCAGCUUGUUGGUGGGGUAGUGGCUUACCAAGGCUUUGACGGGUAGCCGGCCUGAGAGGGUGACCGGCCACAUUGGGACUGAGAUACGGCCCAGACUCCUACGGGAGGCAGCAGUGGGAAAUAUUGCACAAUGGGCGGAAGCCUGAUGCAGCAACGCCGCGUGCGGGAUGACGGCCUUCGGGUUGUAAACCGCUUUCGCCUGUGACGAAGCGUGAGCGACGGUAAUGGGUAAAGAAGCACCGGCUAACUACGUG